CUACGGGGGGCACCAGUGGGGAAUAUUGGACAAUGGGGGAAACCCUGAUCCAGCAAUGCCGCGUGUGUGAAGAAGGCCUGCGGGUUGUAAAGCACUUUCGGUUGGGAGGACUGCUUCUAGCACUAAUAUUGUUGGAAGUUGACGUUACCUUCAGAAGAAGCACCGGCUAACUCCGUGCCAGCAGCCGCGGUAAUACGGAGGGCGCAAGCGUUAAUCGGAAUUACUGGGCGUAAAGCGCGCGUAGGCGGCUAGAUCAGUCGGGUGUGAAAGCCCCGGGCUUAACCUGGGAACUGCAUCCGAUACUGUCUAGCUGGAGUGCAGGAGAGGAGAGUGGAAUUCCACAUGUAGCGGUGAAAUGCGUAGAUAUGUGGAGGAACACCAAUGGCGAAGGCAGCUCUCUGGCCUGAUACUGACGCUGAGGUGCGAAAGCGUGGGGAGCAAACAGGAUUAGAUACCCCAGUAGUC
RNAcentral lists this ribosomal RNA (465 nucleotides) under uncultured bacterium. Its description in RNAcentral is "partial 16S ribosomal RNA". It matches the Rfam family "Bacterial small subunit ribosomal RNA", at positions 339 to 795 of the family's 1533-position model. The record is from RNAcentral.